AACGAACGCUGGCGGCAGGCCUAACACAUGCAAGUCGAGCGAGCAUUUCGGUGCUAGCGGCGGACGGGUGAGUAACGCGUGGGAACGUGCCCUUUUCUGCGGAAUAGUCCUGGGAAACUGGGGGUAAUACCGCAUACGCCCUUUUGGGGAAAGAUUUAUCGGAGAAGGAUCGGCCCGCGUUGGAUUAGGUAGUUGGCGGGGUAAUGGCCCACCAAGCCGACGAUCCAUAGCUGGUUUGAGAGGAUGAUCAGCCACACUGGGACUGAGACACGGCCCAGACUCCUACGGGAGGCAGCAGUGGGGAAUCUUAGACAAUGGGGGCAACCCUGAUCUAGCCAUGCCGCGUGAGUGAUGAAGGCCUUAGGGUUGUAAAGCUCUUUCAGCUGGGAAGAUAAUGACGUUACCAGCAGAAGAAGCCCCGGCUAACUCCGUG
Molecule: ribosomal RNA, 433 nt
Filed under: uncultured bacterium
Lineage: Bacteria
Description: partial 16S ribosomal RNA
Rfam family: Bacterial small subunit ribosomal RNA
Source: RNAcentral